Molecule: long non-coding RNA, 1192 nt
Filed under: Ananas comosus (pineapple)
Lineage: Eukaryota; Viridiplantae; Streptophyta; Magnoliopsida; Poales; Bromeliaceae
Description: long non-coding RNA (ACOM_LNC036297)
Source: RNAcentral
CGUUUGGUUGGGGGGAUAAGCGGGGAUAACGAAAGUUAUCUCCGCUAUUCCGCCAAACGGGGUGAAAUUUGGCCGGGAUAUUUUAUCCUGGUCAAACCUUGCUAUUCCCGGUUAUCCCGGAAUAGCAAGGAAUUUGCUAUUCCACCAUUUUGGUGGAAUAGCACUAUUCCAAUGCUUAAUUUCAAACUUAAUUAAAAUUAUAAAUUGAAUUAAAACUAAAUUAUAUAAAUAUAAUAUGUUAUAUAUUAUAAUACAAUAUUUUUAUUAUAAAAUUAUUAAUUAUACUAUAUUAAUACAUAUUAUUUAUAUUUAAAUAUUAUAAUAAAAUUUAUAAUAAAUUAUAUUUAAAUAUUAUAAUAAAUUCUUUUUAUUAAAUUUAAGUUUAAGUAGAAUUUUAAAAAAAUUUAUAAAUUUAUUAUAAUAAAUAGUUUUUAUUAAUUGUUCCCACCCCUAUUCUUAUUUUAAAAAUUUAAAAAUUAAAAAUUUAAUUUUUUAAAAUUUAUAUAUUAUAAUACAUUAUUUUUAUUAUAAAAUUAUUAAUUGUACUAUAUUAAUAAUUAUUAUUUAUAUUUAAAUAUUAUAAUAAAAUUUAUAGUAAAUUAUAUUUAAAUAUUAUAAUAAAUAAUUGUUCCCAUCCCUAUUUUUAUUUUAAAAUUUUAAAAAUUAAAAAUUUAAAUUGUUAAAAUUUAUAAUUUAUAAUCUCAAAAUUAAAGUUUAUAAUUUUAAAUUUUAAAUUUUAAAAUUAAAUUUUGAUAUUUUAAUUUUGAAAUUUAAAAUUUUAUAUUUUAUAUUUUUCAAAUUUAAAUUUGAUCUUAAAUUUAAAGUUUGCAAUUUAAAAUUUAAAAUUUAAAAUUUUGAAUUUAAAAUUUGAGAUUUUAAAUUUCAAAAUUUGAAAUUUCAAAGUUAAAAUUUUAAAUUUAAAAAUAUAUAUUUAAAAUUUUAAAAAUUUAAAUUCAAAUAUAAUAAGAGGAUAAUAUGAUUAUUUUUAUUUAUAAAACCCACUAUCUUUCUUAUUCCAUCUUAUCUAACCAAACGCUAUUUUUUUUAUUCACAGGAAUAACCCAAUUUUCAUCCAAACGCAAAAUUGAUCUAAUCCCCGCUUAUAUCUCAAUUUAUACCUAUCCCUGGAAUAGCCACUUUUUCCUUAUCCUCGAACCAAACGAUAAGAAUGAUUUCAUUGUGGCACAAAUUU